ACGCUGGCGGCAGGCUUAACACAUGCAAGUCGAACGGUAACAGGGAUUAGCUUGCUAAUCUGCUGACGAGUGGCGGACGGGUGAGUAAUGCUUGGGAAUCUGGCUUAUGGAGGGGGAUAACUACGGGAAACUGUAGCUAAUACCGCGUAAAAUCUUCGGAUUAAAGGGUGGGACUUUCGAGCCACCUGCCAUAAGAUGAGCCCAAGUGGGAUUAGGUAGUUGGUUAGGUAAAGGCUGACCAAGCCGACGAUCUCUAGCUGGUCUGAGAGGAUGACCAGCCACACUGGAACAGAGACACGGUCCAGACUCCUACGGGAGGCAGCAGUGGGGAAUAUUGCACAAUGGGGGGAACCCUGAUGCAGCCAUGCCGCGUGAAUGAAGAAGGCCUUCGGGUUGUAAAGUUCUUUCGGUGACGAGGAAGGUUGGUAGGUUAAUAGCCUAUCAAAUUGACGUUAAUCACAGAAGAAGCACCGGCUAACUCCGUGCCAGCAGCCGCGGUAAUACGGGGGGUGCGAGCGUUAAUCGGAAUAACUGGGCGUAAAGGGCACGCAGGCGGUGACUUAGGUGAGAUGUGAAAGCCCCGAGCUUAACUUGGGAAUUGCAUUUCAUACUGGGUCGCUAGAGUACUUUAGGGAGGGGUAGAAUUCCACGUGUAGCGGUGAAAUGCGUAGAGAUGUGGAGGAAUACCGAAGGCGAAGGCAGCCCCUUGGGAAUGUACUGACGCUCAUGUGCGAAAGCGUGGGGAGCAAACAGGAUUAGAUACCCUGGUAGUCCACGCUGUAAACGAUGUCGAUUUGGGGAUUGGGCUUUGAGCUUGGUGCCCGUAGCUAACGUGAUAAAUCGACCGCCUGGGGAGUACGGCCGCAAGGUUAAAACUCAAAUGAAUUGACGGGGGCCCGCACAAGCGG
Molecule: ribosomal RNA, 908 nt
Filed under: uncultured bacterium
Lineage: Bacteria
Description: bacterial SSU rRNA
Rfam family: Bacterial small subunit ribosomal RNA
Source: RNAcentral